UCCAAAUAAAAAUAAGUACAUCCAAGGGCAGUGUUCACAUCCCUCACCACUGAGGGUUAACCAUUACAUCUAUCUAAAAUCAAGAAAACAUCUAAUUAAAGUUUGUGUAAUUCAUCCUUUCUUACACAUGCAUCACUGAGAACAUUGUCUCUCCUCACCCAAAUCAGCUCCUAGAGUUUGUUUGUUCCGUUGUUAAUCCCAUUCCUACUUCCAAACAGCAUCACUUUUACCCUCAUAGAGAACAUGGUCUCACUCACCUGGAUUUGCCUCCUAGAAUUUUAUCUUUAUAUUGUUUUUAAUCCCUAUACAGUUCGUUUCUUUUUCUCUACUCACCAAUAUUAC
RNAcentral lists this long non-coding RNA (342 nucleotides) under Carica papaya (papaya). RNAcentral's name for it is "long non-coding RNA (CPAP_LNC013639)". Lineage: Eukaryota; Viridiplantae; Streptophyta; Magnoliopsida; Brassicales; Caricaceae. The record is from RNAcentral.